GACGAACGCUGGCGGCGUGCCUAAUACAUGCAAGUCGAACGCUUCUUUCCUCCCGAGUGCUUGCACUCAAUUGGAAAGGGGAGUGGCGGACGGGUGAGUAACACGUGGGUAACCUACCCAUCAGAGGGGGAUAACACUUGGAAACAGGUGCUAAUACCGCAUAACAGUUUAUGCCGCAUGGCAUAAGAGUGAAAGGCGCUUUCGGGUGUCGCUGAUGGAUGGACCCGCGGUGCAUUAGCUAGUUGGUGAGGUAACGGCUCACCAAGGCCACGAUGCAUAGCCGACCUGAGAGGGUGAUCGGCCACACUGGGACUGAGACACGGCCCAGACUCCUACGGGAGGCAGCAGUAGGGAAUCUUCGGCAAUGGACGAAAGUCUGACCGAGCAACGCCGCGUGAGUGAAGAAGGUUUUCGGAUCGUAAAACUCUGUUGUUAGAGAAGAACAAGGACGUUAGUAACUGAACGUCCCCUGACGGUAUCUAACCAGAAAGCCACGGCUAACUACGUG
This 508-nucleotide ribosomal RNA is filed under the name uncultured bacterium. Its description in RNAcentral is "partial 16S ribosomal RNA". It matches the Rfam family "Bacterial small subunit ribosomal RNA", at positions 28 to 507 of the family's 1533-position model. The record is from RNAcentral.